GAACAAAGAUUGGAGCUGAAGACC
Molecule: non-coding RNA, 24 nt
Filed under: Cricetulus griseus (Chinese hamster)
Lineage: Eukaryota; Metazoa; Chordata; Mammalia; Rodentia; Cricetidae
Source: RNAcentral